Molecule: ribosomal RNA, 253 nt
Filed under: uncultured bacterium
Lineage: Bacteria
Description: partial 16S ribosomal RNA
Rfam family: Bacterial small subunit ribosomal RNA
Source: RNAcentral
UACAGAGACUGCGAGCGUUAUUCGGAUUCACUGGGCGUAAAGGGUGCGCAGGCGGCCGUGUGUGUGAGGCGUGAAAGCCCGGGGCUUAACCCCGGAAUUGCACCUCAAACUACACGGCUAGAGCAUUGGAGAGGGUAGCGGAAUUCACGGUGUAGCAGUGAAAUGCGUAGAUAUCGUGAGGAACACCAGAGGCGAAGGCGGCUACCUGGACAAUUGCUGACGCUCAGGCACGAAAGCUAGGGGAGCAAACAGG